CUUCGCUUAAAAACGUUUUUAGUUAGCAACGGUUUACCAUCGUGUACAGAUAUAUAAAUUAUUAAAUCACCCUGUGUAUACACGCAUAUAAAGAUAUAUAUUUUUUUUAUCUUUUUUUUUUUUUUUUUUUUUACAAUUGUACGUACACACAAAUAAAAAUAUUGUACUCGGACGUGAACAACGCAGACGUCACAUAUUAUACUCGGUUGCAGAGACGGGAAUGAGAGGUGCAGUUUUGUGCGCGGUUGCAUCACUCUCGUCUACACAAAUAUAUAUUUUUAUAUACGGCGGGGAGCUGGCGACGGAAAGGGGGACGGUUAUACAAGUAUAAUAUAUAAUGCAGAAAAACAAAACAAAACGGUUGUACGCGCGAGUGUUUUUGAGGGAGGCGGACAAUAAUAAUAUAAUAUCGUACCAAUGUCGUGUGUAUAUGUAUAUAUAUAAAUAAUACAUCUAUGAAUUAUGGAUGGAAACCUCCGUCGUCGGUCGUCGCGGUCUCUGAAGUGGUCGUAUUCGUUGUAUGUAAGUAUUUUAUAUUAUUGCACUGUGCAUACGAUAUAUAACGUAUAGUUGCGACAGUAAAUC
Cinara cedri is the source of this 585-nucleotide non-coding RNA. NCBI's taxonomy places the organism in Eukaryota, Metazoa, Arthropoda, Insecta, Hemiptera, Aphididae. The record is from the annotation of a GenBank genome assembly.